Molecule: long non-coding RNA, 893 nt
Filed under: Vitis vinifera (wine grape)
Lineage: Eukaryota; Viridiplantae; Streptophyta; Magnoliopsida; Vitales; Vitaceae
Description: long non-coding RNA (VVIN_LNC001170)
Source: RNAcentral
UGUGUUUAUUCUUCUUGAUCUCUCCUACACAAGGAAAUCUGAGCAGCAGCAACGGCAGAUCCUGUGAGAUCUAGGCGCUAAAGGUACAUAUUACCAAGCAUACAAAGUUGAGUUUUAUUAUAAAUUAGCCUUGUGCAAUCCCAUUCCUUUUCUUUUUAGUUAUGGGAUGCAGCACAAAAGGCGCCUUAAUUCAGCCUUUCUUUUUAAAUACCAAUUAACUACAUAUAUAUCCUGUGAUCGUAUCAUCAUCCCUAAUGCCUUUAUUCCCGAAAUUAUAAAUUGAGUCAAAAAAAGGGCAUUGAUUUUGCCGGCCCCGGCUCCUACAUGGUUUUCGAUAUUUAAAAAUAUUGUUAUUAAUGAUUAAAGUACCUGAAAUGAUUAAGCAUGGUAUUUGGUAUUUGGUAUUUGACAGUUCGCUUUGAGGAAUUUUGCCAACAUUCGUCACAAUUUUUCGAGGUAAAGAAACCAAAAAAUGGUGUUCAAGAAUUUUAGAUGGUUCUGUGCGUUUUACCAUUUCAAUAUGCAAUAUGUUUCUCAUCAUCGUAGUUCAAUAUUUAUGCUAGUGUUCACAAAAAAUCUAUCCAAAAAAUUAGAUGCAUAGGCUUUAAUAAUUCUACCACUAAUGCAUGCAAUAAUCAAGUACUUAAUUUCUCAAUAGACGAGUUGGUAAACGUUGGUGUCCUCUUAUCUGGUGCAUUGGCUUUUUAUAAUUUUGCUAAUAUUUCAAUUUGCACUAAAAACUACAGUAUGCAUAAGUUGUAUUAUGUGUUCCAGAAUUGUGUAGUAGUUUGUAAUCUCCCCUUGUAAUAAGUUUUUGUCAGCGGUUUUCUUGGGAGAAAUACUAUCAUUCUUGUAAUUCAGCAAGUUAAUGUAAAAGUAUAUCGUAGCGGUUA